RNAcentral lists this long non-coding RNA (483 nucleotides) under Junco hyemalis (dark-eyed junco). RNAcentral's name for it is "lncRNA (ENSJHYG00000014278.1)". The record is from RNAcentral. Lineage: Eukaryota; Metazoa; Chordata; Aves; Passeriformes; Passerellidae.
CAUUCUAGUGUAUUGCUGAGAUCAUCCAGGUGAUAAAACCUCUCUUUUUUCUCUUUUUUUCUCCUAAAUGAGGCUUUUCCCUCAAACCACAUCCAUUCCCAGCAGAACUGGGGGAUUCUCAGACAUCCUUGUAACGAGUUCACAUGGCUGCAGGAUUAGAAUUUGCAGUCAUUGGAGCUGGAUUCAGCCACGGUGGGAAAAACAAGAAGUGGACACCUGCAGUGCCAGUGCUGAGGUGUGAUCACAGCCCUGCAGCAUCCCAGAAAAGCAAAGGACUGGAUGGAGUCCCAGGGCCAUGUUGUCCAAGGUCCUGUUUCUUGCUGCCUGGGACCAUGUUCAAGAGGUCAGAGGAACCCAGAUCUCCUGAUCAGAACAUGGCCAGAAGAAUCCUGGAAGACUCUCCAGCCUUGGGGACUGUUCAAGUUGUGAGUGUUGUUUUUGGAUGAUGGCAAAGGUUUAAUAAAUGCUGCAGCUGUAGAGAGC